GAUGAACGCUGGCGGCGUGCCUAAUACAUGCAAGUCGAGCGAACGGACGAGAAGCUUGCUUCUCUGAUGUUAGCGGCGGACGGGUGAGUAACACGUGGAUAACCUACCUAUAAGACUGGGAUAACUUCGGGAAACCGUAGCUAAUACCGGAUAAUAUUUUGAACCGCAUGGUUCAAAAGUGAAAGACGGUCUUGCUGUCACUUAUAGAUGGAUCCGCGCUGCAUUAGCUAGUUGGUAAGGUAACGGCUUACCAAGGCAACGAUGCAUAGCCGACCUGAGAGGGUGAUCGGCCACACUGGGACUGAGACACGGUCCAGACUCCUACGGGAGGCAGCAGUAGGGAAUCUUCCGCAAUGGGCGAAAGCCUGACGGAGCAACGCCGCGUGAGUGAUGAGGGUCUUCGGAUCGUAAAACUCUGUUAUUAGGGAAGAACAUAUGUGUAAGUAACUGUGCACAUCUUGACGGUACCUAAUCAGAAAGCCACGGCUAACUACGUG
Molecule: ribosomal RNA, 497 nt
Filed under: uncultured bacterium
Lineage: Bacteria
Description: partial 16S ribosomal RNA
Rfam family: Bacterial small subunit ribosomal RNA
Source: RNAcentral